GGGGUGACUUUUUUCAUAUUAUUUCAUGCGUUUCAAUUUAUGUAAAAAGACUUUCAGAGAAGAAAAUCAUUAUACUGAUAGGCAAAGGCGAAUCCAUGAUUUCAUAUUAUUCCAUGCCUUUCAAUUUAUAAAUUUACAUUCAAAUAUUUAUAGAUAUUUAUUAAUGAAUAUGUUAAUGCAUAUAUAAGAUUUGAAUAAAAACUAUAUAUUGAAUUCCCGUGAACUCACUUGCAGUCCUCUGAAUCUGC
This 248-nucleotide long non-coding RNA is filed under the name Solanum tuberosum (potato). Its description in RNAcentral is "long non-coding RNA (STUB_LNC009584)". The record is from RNAcentral. Lineage: Eukaryota; Viridiplantae; Streptophyta; Magnoliopsida; Solanales; Solanaceae.